GAGUUUGAUCAUGGCUCAGGAUGAACGCUAGCGGCAGGCUUAACACAUGCAAGUCGAGGGGCAGCAAGGGUAGCAAUACCUGUUGGCGACCGGCAAACGGGUGCGGAACACGUACGCAAUUUACCUCUGUCUGGGGAAUAGCCCGAAGAAAUUCGGAUUAACACCCCAUAAUAUAUUGGGAAGGCAUCUUUUUGAUAUUAAAACUCCGGUGGACAGAGAUGAGCGUGCGUCCCAUUAGCUAGUUGGUAGGGUAACGGCCUACCAAGGCGACGAUGGGUAGCUGGUGUGAGAGCACGGACCAGCCACACGGGCACUGAGACACGGGCCCGACUCCUACGGGAGGCAGCAGUGAGGAAUAUUGGUCAAUGGGCGCAAGCCUGAACCAGCCAUGCCGCGUGAAGGAUGAAGGCCUUCUGGGUUGUAAACUUCUUUUAUUGGGGAAGAAAUUACGGUUUCUACUGUAACCGACGGUACCAAGGAAUAAGCACCGGCUAACUCCGUGCCAGCAGCCGCAGUAAG
This 519-nucleotide ribosomal RNA is filed under the name uncultured Sphingobacterium sp. Its description in RNAcentral is "bacterial SSU rRNA". It matches the Rfam family "Bacterial small subunit ribosomal RNA", at positions 9 to 524 of the family's 1533-position model. The record is from RNAcentral. Lineage: Bacteria; Pseudomonadati; Bacteroidota; Sphingobacteriia; Sphingobacteriales; Sphingobacteriaceae.